GUAGGUGAACCUGCGGAAGGAUCAUUAUUGAAUAUUCUUGAUGGGUUGUUGCUGGCUCUUCGGGGCAUGUGCACACCUAUCUUGAUUUUAUUCGUCCACCUGUGCACCUUUUGUAGUCUUGGGGGUUGAGAGUAGUCGACUGUCGGAUCGGCCAUUUGGUCUUUUCCGGAUGUGAGAAAUGCUAAGUGCGAAAGCAUAAGGCUCUUCUCAAAUGACUUGGAAACUUCUCCCUCAAGUGCUAUGUAUUCAUAUACCUUAUAGUAUGUCGCAGAAUGUGAUCAAUGGGCCUAUGAGCCUAUAUAAAUCUAUAUACAACUUUCAGCAACGGAUCUCUUGGCUCUC
RNAcentral lists this unclassified non-coding RNA (342 nucleotides) under rhizosphere metagenome. RNAcentral's name for it is "partial ribosomal RNA internal transcribed spacer region". The record is from RNAcentral.